GAUGAACGCUGGCGGCGUGCCUAAUACAUGCAAGUAGAACGCUGAAGGAGGAGCUUGCUCUUCUGGAUGAGUUGCGAACGGGUGAGUAACGCGUAGGUAACCUGCCUGGUAGCGGGGGAUAACUAUUGGAAACGAUAGCUAAUACCGCAUGACAACAGUUAUUGCAUGAUAACUGUUUAAAAGGGGCAACUGCUCCACUACCAGAUGGACCUGCGUUGUAUUAGCUAGUUGGUGAGGUAACGGCUCACCAAGGCGACGAUACAUAGCCGACCUGGGAGGGGGGUCCGCCCACCUGGGACUGAGACCCCGCCCCGGCUCCCUCGGGGGGCAAGCGUAGGGGAUCUUUGGCCAUGGGCGGAAGGCUUACCCAGCAACGCCGCGUGGGUGGAGGAGGGUUUCGGGUCGGAAAGCUCUGUUGUAAGGGAAGAACGAGUGGGAGGGUGGAAAGUUCACGCUGUGACGGUACCUUACCAGAAAGCGCCGGCUAACUACGUG
This 495-nucleotide ribosomal RNA is filed under the name uncultured bacterium. RNAcentral's name for it is "partial 16S ribosomal RNA". It matches the Rfam family "Bacterial small subunit ribosomal RNA", at positions 28 to 507 of the family's 1533-position model. The record is from RNAcentral.